GUGGGGAAUAUUGGACAAUGGGGGGAACCCUGAUCCAGCCAUGCCGCGUGUGUGAAGAAGGCCUUAUGGUUGUAAAGCACUUUAAGCGAGGAGGAGGCUACUAGUAUUAAUACUACUGGAUAGUGGACGUUACUCGCAGAAUAAGCACCGGCUAACUCUGUGCCAGCAGCCGCGGUAAUACAGAGGGUGCGAGCGUUAAUCGGAUUUACUGGGCGUAAAGCGUGCGUAGGCGGCCAUUUAAGUCAAAUGUGAAAUCCCCGAGCUUAACUUGGGAAUUGCAUUCGAUACUGGAUGGCUAGAGUAUGGGAGAGGAUGGUAGAAUUCCAGGUGUAGCGGUGAAAUGCGUAGAGAUCUGGAGGAAUACCGAUGGCGAAGGCAGCCAUCUGGCCUAAUACUGACGCUGAGGUACGAAAGCAUGGGGAGCAAACAGGAUUAGAUACCCGAGUAGUCC
RNAcentral lists this ribosomal RNA (451 nucleotides) under uncultured bacterium. Its description in RNAcentral is "bacterial SSU rRNA". It matches the Rfam family "Bacterial small subunit ribosomal RNA", at positions 354 to 796 of the family's 1533-position model. The record is from RNAcentral.